Vitis riparia (riverbank grape) is the source of this 1683-nucleotide RNA transcript. It is a transcript of the gene named 30S ribosomal protein S9, mitochondrial, with no coding region annotated. The transcript is spliced from 5 exons. NCBI's taxonomy places the organism in Eukaryota, Viridiplantae, Streptophyta, Magnoliopsida, Vitales, Vitaceae. The record is from RefSeq and is a predicted model, not a curated record.
AAGCCAUCUGAGGGAGCCUCCACACUGCAAUCCCAACCAAACUCACCCCGUCGUUCAAAAUCUCAGGCCUUAAACCCUAGCAAACUCAACCAGUUCCCCUCUCUCUCUCAACAAUGCUGGCUCGCUUCGUUUCCAAACCCUCUAAUUUCCGUCUCUUAACUCUACUCUCCACCAAAUCCCAAUCACACCCUCCAAACCCUAAGUUCACCCUCCCAAGAUUCUUCUCCACCAAUCACAACAACAACGACAAUAACACUAAAGAUCGCUCCACAUUCAAUUCCUGGAAAAUUUCUCAGGAAUACGACGGAAAUGGUGAUUCCAUCGUGGGCCAAGAGGCUGGAACGCUUGCCGGACUCACCGACGAGGGCGGUGCGGCUCCGGCUGAGGAUGAGUCGUGGUUGAAGGAUUCGCCGUGGACCUUCGAAGAGGAGGGAGAGAAAGGUAACGUGUUGGACUUUGGAUGGGAAUUGCAGGAGGAGGUUCGUGCUGUGGGAGGUGAGACUACCAUUGAGGGUGACGGGAGCAAAGAGCUUCUUGAGAAGGAAGAGUCAGCUCUUUCUGCUGUGCUCAAAGGUCCAAAUCGUGCAUUUGGUGACCUUAUUGCAGCAUCUGGAAUCACUGAUGCAAUGCUUGACAGUUUGAUUGCCCUGAAGGACUUGGAAGGGGUUGAGGGAUUGCCCCCGUUAAGUGAGAUCGAAGACAUUCGUUAUGAAAAAAAUACAAGAAAAUCAACCAGGGCUGAGAUAGAGCGCCAGAAGCAGGAGGAAGUUGCAAAAGCUCGAGUUAGACAAGUAGAUGAAAAGGGAAGGGCUUAUGGAACAGGAAGAAGGAAAUGCAGUAUAGCCCGUGUUUGGGUUCAGCCUGGUGAUGGAAAAUUUAUGAUUAAUGACAAGCAAUUUGAUGUUUAUUUUCCAAUGCUUGAUCAUCGUGCUGCUCUUCUUCGACCUUUCUCUGAAACAAAGACAUUGGGUCUUUGGGAUGUCAAUUGUACUGUGAAGGGAGGUGGCCUCUCAGGUCAAGUUGGAGCAAUUCGUUUGGGGAUCAGCAGGGCUUUGCAAAACUGGGAACCAGGAUUACGGCCUCAGCUCAGAGAAGCUGGUUUCUUAACAAGGGAUCCCCGGGUGGUGGAAAGGAAAAAACCUGGAAAAGCAAAAGCAAGAAAGAGCUACCAAUGGGUCAAGCGUUGAUGGGUUUAAGGUUAUUCUUUGUAAGUUACAAGGAUUACUUCAUUUCUUUGGCACCAUAAGUUUUGUUUGAAAUGAUCAGAUAUUCAGAUGGCUUGACUUCUCUUUCCUAUUGUAGCUGUUCCCCCCCAAGUUGUUUCACCCAAAAAUAGACUGCCUGGCAGAGCUGUGAAGAUAUAUUUUCAACCAAAAAUAAAUGUCCUUUUAGCUGUUUCCUGCUGGAGCAGACUUCUCUCUGUAUCUCACAAAAUGCUUUAAUUUCUUAAGACCUUGAUGCAUUAGGAUCUUGGAUUCAACUUUCUUUUAGCCAUGCAAGUCUUGGGUUGGGUCUGAUCUUUUGGUGAAAUGGAGACUGCAAGCCUUGUUUUAUGAGAUGGAGAUGUAAUGUGGGCUCAGACUACUCAGGAAUUGAACCUGGAAUGUUGUGUCCAGGCCCAGCAAUGGAUUUAUGUAAUUAAUAAUAUUUCUAUAGAAAUAUAACCCACUUUAUUUUACUUUA